GGCACUCUAGAAUGACUGCCGGUGACAAACCGGAGGAAGGCGGGGAUGACGUCAAAUCAUCAUGCCCCUUAUGACUUGGGCUACACACGUACUACAAUGGCUGGUACAACGGGAAGCGAAGCCGCGAGGUGGAGCCAAUCCUAUAAAAGCCAGUCUCAGUUCGGAUUGCAGGCUGCAACUCGCCUGCAUGAAGUCGGAAUUGCUAGUAAUCGCGGAUCAGCAUGCCGCGGUGAAUACGUUCCCGGGUCUUGUACACACCGCCCGUCACACCACGAGAGUUACAACACCCGAAGUCGGUGG
This 300-nucleotide ribosomal RNA is filed under the name Paenibacillus sp. RNAcentral describes it as "bacterial SSU rRNA". It matches the Rfam family "Bacterial small subunit ribosomal RNA", at positions 1134 to 1433 of the family's 1533-position model. The record is from RNAcentral. Lineage: Bacteria; Bacillati; Bacillota; Bacilli; Caryophanales; Paenibacillaceae.